Molecule: long non-coding RNA, 2624 nt
Organism: Poecile atricapillus (Black-capped chickadee)
Lineage: Eukaryota; Metazoa; Chordata; Aves; Passeriformes; Paridae
Exons: 2
Source: RefSeq, a predicted model, not a curated record
AGCCGGGGCCCAGCCGGGGCCGCAGAGCCGCAGGCUGCCAGAUGAAGGGUGAUCCUAGCCGGAGUCCCAGAGAGCUGCACCUGAUCGUCUGACUGUGUAAACUGGUGAGAUCCCAGGGCAGACAGUUCAAAAAAACCUGGAGAAGGUGAAGUCAACUUGUUUUCCCCAAAGCUGUUGGCAGGGGGCUGUGGAGCAUGGCAGCAAUGAGUGCUGGACCUGGGAGUGAGCUCUGCUACUGCCCCUCAGGGAAUCGCCCAAGAGCCGCGCCCUCCCCGGUUUGUGUGAACUGAUUUGCUGAGUAAUGCAAUCUCCUUUGGAAUGACAUUCCUGUUCUAGAUCAAGAACCAGACAUGCAUUCGUUAAAUGACUUCCCCGAGGUCACAUAGUAAGUGACUCAUUGGCAGAGGCAAGAAUUAACAUGGUAUCUUUAAAUUCCAGCUUCCUAGACCCAAUAGCCACUGAUUUCUAGGGCUCUUCUCUUUCCUGUCCCAGACUUUAUGCCCUUGCAUGCUGAAGAAUUUACCACACGUGCAAUUUCCAAGGUGGCAAUAUCUGACAACGGCCAAGAAAAUGAGAUGCCUGUUCUUUGCUGCAGACAUCUAGUGAUAUACAAAGAAGCUAAAGUUCUUCCUAUUGCUUAUCUUUUUGGAACGUUUUACCAUGUUAGGCCCAAGCUGAUGCAGUGCCAGGUCUCGUCUGUGCCCAUGCCUCCAAAACUGUACAUGCUCAAGGUGUUAAUCUGUCCUCUAAUGUUAUUUUCUGUUUUUCUAGAAACAUCUUUGCUGCAGUUUCCCUGAAAUGGGAACACUCUGUCCAUACCCAGUCUUGGUACAAUAAUCACUUGCAAAAAAACCCAGUGGGUGGGUUUUAUAAAUCCCAGUUCAGUGUUCAGCAAGGUAUAACAUCUGUUGUGAUCAAUAUUUUAGAACAAGCCUCUUUGAUUAAAAAGUUACAGUAAAGCCCUUUGCUUUGUACUGAAUAGCUAAAUAAUUCACAGGACUGGCUGUAAUCUCUCUAAGGUUCUUGCAUUUCGAAUUAAGAAGGAAAUUCAGGGUAAUUCUGUAGAGAGGUAGCACAGCCAGCUGGAUCUCUGCUGUACUGGCAAUUAAGUACUUUCCAUUUUAUAAUGGCUCCUGAGGUAUGCUGGACUCAAAUCCGGCAAAAAAAUUGGUCUCCUUUAUCAUCUGUUUCUGAUGAUAAUCUGGUGGGUAAAUGCCAGCAGUCAGGGCUGAAGAGUUUUUGGUUUGAUAAGUUCACAGAGAGGGACUGUCGGGUGCGCGGCCACAGAGAGCACCGCAGAUGGGGCAUCGGUGUGAGCAGCACCUGCUGCCACAGGGGCACAGCCCGGCACUGCCCGGCACGGCACGCACAGCCCCGGGACAGCCCCAGGACAGCCCCGGGAUAGCCCCGGGACAGCCCCGGGACAGCCCCAGGAUAGCCCCGGGACAGCCCCGGGACAGCCCCAGGACAGCCCCGGGACAGCCCCAGGACAGCCCCGGGACAGCGCCGGGAUAGCCCCGGGAUAGCCCCGGGAUAGCCCCGGGAUAGCCCCGGGAUAGCCCCGGGACAGCCCCGGGAUAGCCCCGGGAUAGCCCCGGGAUAGCCCCAGGACAGCCCCGGGAUAGCCCCGGGACAGCCCCAGGACAGCCCCGGGACAGCCCCGGGAUAGCCCCGGGACAGCCCCGGGACAGCCCCGGGAUAGCCCCGGGAUAGCCCCAGGACAGCCCCGGGAUAGCCCCGGGACAGCCCCGGGACAGCCCCGGGACAGCCCCGGGACAGCCCCGGGACAGCCCCGGGAUAGCCCCGGGACAGCCCCGGGACAGCCCCGGGACAGCCCCGGGAUAGCCCCGGGAUAGCCCCGGGACAGCCCCGGGACAGCCCCGGGACAGCCCCGGGAUAGCCCCGGGAUAGCCCCGGGACAGCCCCGGGACAGCCCCGGGAUAGCCCCGGGAUAGCCCCAGGACAGCCCCGGGAUAGCCCGGGAAUCCUCUCUGUGUGUGUGUUCUCCUUGAUUUCCAAGGAAAUCAAGCUGGCUGGGAAGUGCUCUCUUUUUUCCCUGAGAGAAUCUUGUCUGACCUUGAUGACUUCUUGAAAUUCCUCCUUUCUGGAAAGGAAUGAGAAUUUACCAAAUAACAAAUCAAACAAAAAAGGCCAUAAGAAGCCAGAUUUAAUUAUUUUUUUAAAGUUUCAGUGAAGAAGAAACAAUGCAAAAUAAAUUAAUGCAUGUGCCUUCUUUUUGUGGCAACAGCACUUUGUGGAUAUUCCUGCUUGUGCAUCUAUUCCCUCUAUUUUCAUCCUCCCUGGUCUCAUAAUUUUGUUUGGCCCUCAGUCUUACAGAGGGUUGGUCUUGUGCUGCUGAGGUAAUGAUGGAAAUUAGAAAUGUGCUUGUCAAAUCUGUGAGAAUAGGGACAAACUGGCCCUUGGACUUCAGCCUCAAGGAACAUCUCUGAGUUGGCCCAAAAUGCAAUGCAGUCCUGGGGCUCUAAAUAGGAGGUCAGCUCAGCUGUGCCAGGUGGACUACACCCUUGUGUUUUUUACUGGGAAUGUUUUGAAAUAUUUUCCUUAUAUUCUGCUUACUAGUAUUCAUACAAUUCUAUAAAUGAAAAUAAAGGAGGCUGGAGAUA